GAGUUUGAUCCUGGCUCAGGAUGAACGCUGGCGGCGUGCUUAACACAUGCAAGUCGAACGGGAAUUACUUUAUUGAAACUUCGGUCGAUAUGAUUUAAUUCUAGUGGCGGACGGGUGAGUAACGCGUGGGUAACCUGCCUUAUACAGGGGGAUAACAGUCAGAAAUGACUGCUAAUACCGCAUAAGACCACGGUACCGCAUGGUACAGUGGUAAAAACUCCGGUGGUAUGAGAUGGACCCGCGUCUGAUUAGGUAGUUGGUGGGGUAACGGCCUACCAAGCCGACGAUCAGUAGCCGACCUGAGAGGGUGACCGGCCACAUUGGGACUGAGACACGGCCCAGACUCCUACGGGAGGCAGCAGUGGGGAAUAUUGCACAAUGGGGGAAACCCCGAUGCAGCGACGCCGCGUGAAGGAAGAAGUAUCUCGGUAUGUAAACUUCUAUCAGCAGGGAAGAUAGUGACGGUACCUGACUAAGAAGCCCCGGCUAACUACGUGCCAGCCGCCGCGGUAAUAC
This 516-nucleotide ribosomal RNA is filed under the name uncultured bacterium. RNAcentral's name for it is "bacterial SSU rRNA". It matches the Rfam family "Bacterial small subunit ribosomal RNA", at positions 9 to 526 of the family's 1533-position model. The record is from RNAcentral.